CCUACGGGAGGCUGCAGUGAGGAAUAUUGGUCAAUGGACGAGAGUCUGAACCAGCCAAGUAGCGUGAAGGAUGACUGCCCUAUGGGUUGUAAACUUCUUUUAUAAAGGAAUAAAACGAGGCACGUGUGCCUUUUUGCAUGUACUUUAUGAAUAAGGAUCGGCUAACUCCGUGCCAGCAGCCGCGGUAAUACGGAGGAUCCGAGCGUUAUCCGGAUUUAUUGGGUUUAAAGGGAGCGUAGAUGGGUUGUUAAGUCAGUUGUGAAAGUUUGCGGCUCAACCGUAAAAUUGCAAUUGAUACUGGCAGGCAUGAGUACAGUGGAGGUAAGCGGAAGUCGUGGUGGAGCGGUGAAAUGCUUAGAUAUCACGAAGAACCCCGAUGGCGAAGGAAGCUUACGAAACUGUGACUGACAUUGAUGCGCGAAAGUGUGGGUAUCAAACAGGAUUAGAUACCCUAGUAGUC
RNAcentral lists this ribosomal RNA (460 nucleotides) under uncultured bacterium. RNAcentral describes it as "partial 16S ribosomal RNA". It matches the Rfam family "Bacterial small subunit ribosomal RNA", at positions 338 to 795 of the family's 1533-position model. The record is from RNAcentral.